CCCACAAAUCGAGCUCUAGAUCCCCAGCUUAGAAACAAUCCCAAUCCUCAAAAGUAAACAAAGUCUACGAAAUUCCAAAUUCAUACAUCAACUACAGAUACGGAAUUCCAGUUCCAGACUUUCAAUUCAAACAACAAUAAUUAAAAUAACCAGAAGCCUAAAAUUGUGAAAGCACACUUUUUAUUAACAACAACAAAAAAAAAAAAAAAAAACCUAUAUAGAGCUCUGGAUCUUUUUGCAUUAAUUUUUACCAUUUUAGAGUUCCAUUAAUCCACUGAACCUAAAGUGAUUUGACAAAGAAACUAGACAUUAACAGGACAACGAAUUUUGCAGCUCUAUUGUUUAUAAAGUUCCCACAAAAAAAAAAAAAAAAAAAACUGAAAACUCAUCACCAGGAACUACAAAGAAAGCAAUUUACUGUGAAAACAAAAGAAAUAAAUAUUUAACAGGAAUUUCAGUGAUACCUUUGCGGAAGUCUUCGAUUUUUCCGGUAGUGAUUCGAAGAGACGAUUCACAAUAAAAAAUACGAAAUCUAAAUGUAUAUCGCUUUUUAAUCGGUUAUGAAUCCCGAGCCGCAUUGAAUAACCCAAUAAUUCCAUCUAUCAUCCACCAAUCCGAACCAGUCUCUUGGCCAUCGGAGAAGAUUGAGAGUCGGGGCGAAACGAUGAACACUUACAGUAAUUUUCUCGAAGAAUUUUCUCGAAACGAUGAAGAUUGAGAGUGGGGGCAAACAAUGAGCCAGUCUCUUGGCCACCAGUAAUUU
Molecule: long non-coding RNA, 763 nt
Filed under: Erythranthe guttata (spotted monkey flower)
Lineage: Eukaryota; Viridiplantae; Streptophyta; Magnoliopsida; Lamiales; Phrymaceae
Description: long non-coding RNA (EGUT_LNC003919)
Source: RNAcentral